UGGGGAAUAUUGCACAAUGGGGGAAACCCUGAUGCAGCGACGCCGCGUGAGCGAAGAAGGCUUUCGAGUCGUAAAGCUCUGUCCUAUGAGAAGAUAAUGACGGUAUCAUAGGAGGAAGCCCUGGCUAAAUACGUGCCAGCAGCCGCGGUAAUACGUAUGGGGCGAGCGUUGUCCGGAAUUAUUGGGCGUAAAGGGUACGUAGGCGGUUUUUUAAGUCAGGUGUCAAAGCGUGGAGCUUAACUCCAUUAAGCACUUGAAACUGAAAGACUUGAGUGAAGGAGAGGAAAGUGGAAUUCCUAGUGUAGCGGUGAAAUGCGUAGAUAUUAAAAAGAAUACCGGUGGCGAAGGCGACUUACUGGGCUCAUUCUGACGCUGAGGAACGAAAGCGUGGGUAGCAAACAGG
RNAcentral lists this ribosomal RNA (403 nucleotides) under Verrucomicrobiota bacterium. RNAcentral describes it as "Verrucomicrobia bacterium partial 16S ribosomal RNA". It matches the Rfam family "Bacterial small subunit ribosomal RNA", at positions 355 to 776 of the family's 1533-position model. Lineage: Bacteria; Pseudomonadati; Verrucomicrobiota. The record is from RNAcentral.